CCUACGGGAGGCAGCAGUAGGGGAAUCUUCCGCAAUGGACGAAAGUCUGACGGAGCAACGCCGCGUGAACGAUGAAGGCCUUCGGGUCGUAAAGUUCUGUUGUUAGGGAAGAACAAGUGCUAGUUAAAUAAGCUGGCACCUUGACGGUACCUAACCAGAAAGCCACGGCUAACUACGUGCCAGCAGCCGCGGUAAUACGUAGGUGGCAAGCGUUGUCCGGAAUUAUUGGGCGUAAAGCGCGCGCAGGCGGUUUCUUAAGUCUGAUGUGAAAGCCCCCGGCUCAACCGGGGAGGGUCAUUGGAAACUGGGAAACUUGAGUGCAGAAGAGGAAAGUGGAAUUCCAAGUGUAGCGGUGAAAUGCGUAGAGAUUUGGAGGAACACCAGUGGCGAAGGCGACUUUCUGGUCUGUAACUGACGCUGAGGCGCGAAAGCGUGGGGAGCAAACAGGAUUAGAUACCCUGGUAGUCCACGCUGUAAACGAUGAGUGCUAAGUGUUAGAGGGUUUCCGCCCUUUAGUGUCUGAAGUUAACGCAUUAAGCACUCCGCCUGGGGAUACGGUCGCAAGACUGAAACUCAAAAGNGUAAUGACGUGNGAGAGCGACGACGACGACGACGGAGGAGGAG
RNAcentral lists this ribosomal RNA (624 nucleotides) under uncultured bacterium. RNAcentral's name for it is "bacterial SSU rRNA". It matches the Rfam family "Bacterial small subunit ribosomal RNA", at positions 338 to 949 of the family's 1533-position model. The record is from RNAcentral.